Long non-coding RNA from Oncorhynchus tshawytscha (Chinook salmon), 4196 nucleotides. The record is from Ensembl. NCBI's taxonomy places the organism in Eukaryota, Metazoa, Chordata, Actinopteri, Salmoniformes, Salmonidae.
GUAACAUAUCAUACGAAUUGUAAUGUAACAUAUCAAAUAAAAUGGAGGAUAGAUAUCCACAAAUUAAUAGAUACCAUACCAUAUGUAUCAUAAUAAUUUCAGUUUACUAUGCUACGUCUAACCUUGAGUCCAGAUUGGGAGGGAGGGGGUUCCCGGGAGCUGGUCGCAUGAGAGCCAGGGAGGGUGCUAUCCCUCUAUAAUUUAAUCACAUUUGGCUGUCUCCCUGUUCUCAGCCUGCACGGUAAAGCAAGCUAGGCACCGCGGUGACACACACACAGACAGAGAAACAGACACACACACUCUCUCCCGCUCUCUCUAUCCCACCUCUCUCUCCCGCUUUCUCUCCCCUCACUCUCUGACCAACACACUCGUGAUAAGCAAAACAUUUCCUUCCUCAUCCUGUCACCAGAAAAUUAUACAGAACAUCCCUUCACCAUACAGCCUCAGUCGGUCAUCAUGUCAGAACAUCCCUUCACCAUACAGCCUGAGUCUGUCAUCAUGUCAGAACAUCCCUUCACCAUACAGCCUCAGCCGGUCAUCAUGUCAGAACAUCCCUUCACCAUACAGCCUCAGCCGGUCAUCAUGUCAGAACAUCCCUUCACCAUACAGCCUCAGCCGGUCAUCAUGUCAGAACAUCCCUUCACCAUACAGCCCCAGCCAGUCAUCAUGUCAGAAUAUCCCUUCACCAUACAGCCUCAGUCAGUCAUCAUGUCAGAACAUCCCUUCACCAUACAGCCUGAGUCAGUCAUCAUGUCAGAACAUCCCUUCACCAUACAGCCUCAGCCAGUCAUCAUGUCAGAACAUCCCUUCACCAUACAGCCUCAGCCAGUCAUCAUGUCAGAACAUCCCUUCACCAUACAGCCUCAGUCGGUCAUCAUGUCAGAACAUCCCUUCACCAUACAGCCUCAGUCGGUCAUCAUGUCAGAACAUCCCUUCACCAUACAGCCUCAGUCAGUCAUCAUGUCAGAACAUCCCUUCACCAUACAGCCUCAGCUAGACAUCAUGUCAGAACAGCCCUUCACAUGCAGUCUCAGCUGGACAAAAUGUCCCUUCACCAUGCAACUUCAGCUGGACAUCAUGUCAACAUUUCCCUGACUCCCCCCAGUUCUAUAAAAUGUGUACAUUGUGUACAGCAUAUUGAGAUCUACAUCCCUAAGGCUAUGGGGAAAUACUAAUGAUCUAUCUUAAUAUGCAAUGUAAUAAUCCAGCAGUGACACAAUAUGGAUUUCUUUCUGGAACCCAUUUGAUUUCCAUUUCUAAAUAGCCAGAUUAUAGAACAUUUGUAGACAGAAUUUGUGCAUUCAUCAUUAUUCCCCCCCACACACACAAAGUCAAUUGCUGGUUAACAAAAAGAGGAGGAGACAGGCACAUAAUUAUUUCCGUUCAUUUUUAGAUUUAGAGCUUUUUUGUAAAUGUUUGUUUUCUUCACCCAGAGAGACAUGUUGCAGUGCCUCAGCCUUUUGCUCUGUGCCAUGGUACCAUGGUGCCACCCACCAGUGGCAUGACAAUGGGCCUCAGGAUCUCAUCACGGUAUCUGCAUUCAAAUUGCCAUUGAUAAAAUUCAAUUGUGUUGGUUGUCCGUAAAUUGUGUUGGUUGUCCUGCCCAUACCAUAACCCCACUGCCACCAUGGGGCACUUUGCCCAUAUGUCUGAUAUCUGCCCAGUACAGUUGAAACCGGGAUUCAUCCGUGAAGAGCACACUUCUCCAGUGUGCCAGUGGCCAUCGAAGGUGAGCAUUUGCACACUGAAGUCUGUACCGACGCCGAACUGCAGUCAGGUCAAGACCCUGGUGAGGACGAUGAGCAUGCAGAUGAGCUUCCCUGAGCUUCCCUGAGGUUUCUAACAGUUUGUGCAGAAAUCUUCCUGUUGUGCCACAGUUUCAUCCCACAGGUAAAGAAGCAGGAUGUGGAGAUCCUGGGUUGGCGUAGUUACAUGUAGUCUGCGGUUGUGAGGCCAGUUGGACAUACUGCCAAAUUCUCUAAAAGGAUAUUGGAGGCAGCUUAAGGUAGACAAAUGAACAUUUAACUCUUUGGCAACAGCUCGGGUGGACUUUCCUGCAGUCAGCAUACCAAUUGCAAACUCCCUCAGAACUUGAGACUUCUUUGGCAUUGUACUGUGUGACAAAACUGCACAUUUUAGAGUAGCAUUUUAUUGUACCAAGCACGAGGUGCACCUGUGUAAUGAUCAUGCUGUUUAAUCAGCUUCUUGAUAUGCCACACCUGUCAGGUGGAUAGAUUAUAUGGCAAAGGAGAAAGGCUCACUAAAAGGAAUGUAAACAAAUUUAUGCCCAGAAAUUGAGAGAAAUAAGCGUUUUGUACAUGUAGAACAUUUCUAGAAUCUUCUAUUUCAGCUCAUGAAACAUGGGACCAACACUUUACAUUUUGCGUUCCUAUUUUUGUUCAGUAUAGUUAACCAUGUACGAGAAUUCAAAACAGUGCAACACUUUGCCUCGGAAAUGUAAUAUAUCCUUUCAAUGUUAGCUGCAUGCUAUAAAGGAAUAAUAACAAUGUAGAGCAUUCAAAGGUUUGUUAAGGCAUCAAAUCUCCAAAACAAUAUAAAACAUGAAUAUCAACAAUAUGAAAAUACAACAGAAAGUAGAAGUAUUCCAGAAGGAGUUUAACACUCUACUUGCCGUUCAAUCAAACAACUCAGCUAAACAAAGCUUGGCAUCAGAGAUUCCAGUGUAAAGCACAAUAUACAGUGAGUACACAUUUCAUAUCAAAAUUCUAAAUAUCUAAAUAAGCUGAGACUCAAGCAAUUCAAAGCAAGUGUCAUACUGCUUAGUUCACUAUCUUAAAUUCUAAGUAAUAUCCUCCUUCAGUUUUAGCUAUAACCCUCUUUUGACAAUCUACAAACGUAUCAUUGACAGAAGCCAAAGCACUCACAAGAAGAUUGAAAGAAGAAGAGUAACCCACCAGUCUCAGAAUGCAGUCUUCUCCCAAACUUCUUUAUGCUCCAGUAUGUCCGUCCUCUUUUCUUUCUUUCUUUUUCCCUUCUUCUCUUUUCUUCUUUCUUUCUUUCUUUCUUUCUUUCUUUCUUUCUUUCUUUCUUUCUUUCUUUCUUUCUUUCUUUCUUUCUUUCUUUCUUUCUUUCUUUCUUUCUUUCUUUCUGUCUUUCUUUCUGUCUUUCUUUCUUUACUUAUCUUUUAUCCCACUCGUUCUUUACCCCUCACACACUCACACUGCUCCCUGAAAACUUAUCAUGUCCUCCUGUAUGCAAAUAAUUUUGACUUGAGAGUCGGCUGGAGAUGAGGGAACAAGGGAGAAAAAGAGGAGAGAGGCAAGAGAUAGAAAGAGGAAGACGGAAGGAGGAGAGAAGAUAAUGGUUGAAGGCAGGCAACCAAUGGGCCUGGAGCUUAAUGGAAAAAAAGGAAUGAGGGCAGCACCAAUGAGGCGAAGCGGAAGGGAGAGAGAGAUGAGGGAGGAGAGGCGGCGAAGGUAAGGAUGGUGAGAGAGCGCACAGCCGAGAGGAAAGCGCGAAGGAGAGUGUGGAGCGGCAGACAGAGACAGAGAGAGAGAGAGAGAGAGAGAGAGAGAGAGGGAGGAAAAAAAAGCAGAGGAUGUGCGUUGCAGGGGCUAGGUACCCCAGUGAGAUAGAGAGACUGCAGAAGAGAAGAGAGGGAGAGAAGGAACCGUGUGUGGCUUACCGUAGUGUAGAUGGCAUUCUCAGACAGCCACGCAGACAGACUCCUCACCCAGCGAGACUCACACAGCACAGCACACCGUACCAAGACUGAUGAAUGACAAAAACAACAAAGGAGAAGAACACCAAGCCGCCUGGUACCCUAAAGCAAGAGUGCGUCUGUGAGUGUAUGUAUGUGUGAGAGUGUGAGUGCGAUCAUGUUCAUGUGUGUGUGUGUGGGGGGAUACGUGCUGAGAGGAGAGAGAGAGUCUUUCUUUCUCUCUCACUGUGUAUAUGUAUGUAUUUGAGAAGAACACAUAUCCCUGUUUCUCUCCCUCUCCCACAAUCUAGCUCUACUGCUCUCUCUCUCUCUCUCUCUCUUUCUCUCUCUCUCUCUCUGACUCUCGCUCUCUCGCUCUGACUCUCUCUCUCUGACUCUGACUCUCUCUCUCUCUCUCUCUCUCUCUCUCUCUCUCUCUCUCUCUCUCUCUCUCUCUCUCUCUCUCUCUCUCUCUCUCUCCCUGUCCUACAUGUAUUCAAGGCUGCAGACAGUCUGCUCCCAGCGUCAGUUCUUC